RNAcentral lists this ribosomal RNA (565 nucleotides) under uncultured soil bacterium. Its description in RNAcentral is "bacterial SSU rRNA". It matches the Rfam family "Bacterial small subunit ribosomal RNA", at positions 318 to 898 of the family's 1533-position model. The record is from RNAcentral.
ACUGAGACACGGCCCAGACUCCUACGGGAGGCAGCAGUGGGGAAUCUUGCGCAAUGCGCGAAAGCGUGACGCAGCAACGCCGCGUGGGGGAAGACGGCCUUCGGGUUGUAAACCCCUUUCAGCGGGGAAGAUAAUGACGGUACCCGCAGAAGAAGCCCCGGCUAACUCCGUGCCAGCAGCCGCGGUAAUACGGAGGGGGCUAGCGUUGUUCGGAAUUACUGGGCGUAAAGCGCGCGUAGGCGGACCUGCAAGUCGGGGGUGAAAGCCCGAGGCUCAACCUCGGAACUGCCUUCGAUACUGCGGGUCUUCGAGUCCGGGAGAGGUGAGUGGAAUUCCUAGUGUAGAGGUGAAAUUCGUAGAUAUUAGGAAGAACACCAGUGGCGAAGGCGGCUCACUGGCCCGGUACUGACGCUGAGGCGCGAAAGCGUGGGGAGCAAACAGGAUUAGAUACCCCGGUAGUCCACGCCGUAAACUAUGGAUGCUAGCUGUUCUCGGUAUCGACCCCGAGUGUAGCGAAGCUAACGCGUUAAGCAUCCCGCCUGUGGAGUACGGUCGCAAGGCUGAA